CAAUGUAAGAUAUGGUAAGAAAGAGAAGAAAACCAAUGACUUUUAAAAUUUACAGUGAUUCCUUGGUGGCAUUGGGGUCUUUCAGUGGUGAGGAAACAGGAAGAAUUCCCAGGAGACCUUGA
This 122-nucleotide long non-coding RNA is filed under the name Mus spicilegus (steppe mouse). RNAcentral's name for it is "lncRNA (ENSMSIG00000015067.1)". The record is from RNAcentral. Lineage: Eukaryota; Metazoa; Chordata; Mammalia; Rodentia; Muridae.